UGCAUGCUGUAGUCUAGCGUAAUAUUAAAGAUCUUGAAACUCUGAACGCUGCUCAUGAAACAACUAAAAGAGGAUGAAGAGUUCUGGAUGGGCAUUCCCAUCCCCAGGCAGGGACCACUGGCCUCUCUUCUGAGCCCUCAUGGCCCUCUGUAACUGCCAUCAUCAAACAGAGAAGACCAACACCUAACAGACAAAUUGCUGUGAUAUUCCCAUUCUCGGUAACUUUAUGCUUAUCCAUGAAGUUCUUCCUCUUCUUUGGAAAUUAAACCAUGAUUAAUUA
Molecule: long non-coding RNA, 280 nt
Organism: Leopardus geoffroyi (Geoffroy's cat)
Lineage: Eukaryota; Metazoa; Chordata; Mammalia; Carnivora; Felidae
Exons: 2
Source: RefSeq, a predicted model, not a curated record